CCUACUGCUAUCGGGAUGAGAUUAAAACAUGCUAGUUGUGCACUCCCUAGCCACGUUGGGAGCGCAGCGAACGGCUCCGUGACACGUAGUUAAUCUGCCCUUAGGACGGGGAUAACCCCGGGAAACUGGGGCUAAUACCCGAUAGGCGGAAAAGCCUGGAAUGGUCUUCCACCUAAAGGACUUCAGGAACAUGCUCCUGGGGUUGCCUAAGGAUGAGACUGCGGCCGAUCAGGUUGUUGGUGGGGUAACGGCCUACCAAGCCUAUAACCGGUACGGGCCCUGAGAGGGGGAGCCCGGAGAUGGGAACUGAGACAAGGUCCCAGACCCUACGGGGUGCAGCAGUUGCGAAACCUCUACAAUGCACGAAAGUGUGAUAGGGUUAUCCCGAGUGCCGUCCGAUGAGGAUGGCUUUUCCCCGGUGUAAGGAGCCGGGGGAAUAAAGGGGGGGCAAGACUGGUGUCAGCCGCCGCGGUAAUACCAGCCCCCUGAGUGGUAGGGACGAUUAUUUGGCCUAAAGCGUCCGUAGCCGGCUUAGCAAGUCUUUCGUUAAAUCCGGCGACUUAAUCGUCGGGAUGCGAGGGAUACUACUAGGCUAGAGGACGGGAGAGGUCGACGGUAUUCCGAGGGGAGGGGUAAAAUCCAAUAAUCCUCGGAGGACCACCAGUGGCGAAGGCGGUCGACUAGAACGUGCCUGACGGUGAGGGACGAAAGCUGGGGGAGCGAACCGGAUUAGACACCCGGGUAGUCCCAGCUGUAAACGAUGCGGGCUAGGUGUUGGGGUAGCCACGAGCUAUUCCAGUGCCGCAGAGAAGUUGUUAAGCCCGCCGCCUGGGAAGUACGGUCGCAAGACUGAAACUUAA
This 860-nucleotide ribosomal RNA is filed under the name uncultured archaeon. RNAcentral's name for it is "bacterial SSU rRNA". It matches the Rfam family "Archaeal small subunit ribosomal RNA", at positions 23 to 859 of the family's 1478-position model. The record is from RNAcentral.